CCAAAUCCCCGAGCCGCCUCCAAUCCCCGAGCCGCCUCCUUCUCCCCUUGUUUGACCGUGUGUGGCGACGACGACGGCGCAUGCGGGAGGAGGAGGGAGGCGGAGCUGCGCCGGCCUCCGUAGGUGAAGAAGAGGAGGCUGGGGCGCAGCGUGGAGGUGGCGGCCGUCCCGGCUCUGGAUGCGACGUGGCGGCGCGCCCGUCGCGGAGGCGGCCGGCAGCGCGGGCCCGGGAGCAGCCGCGGGCGCCGCCGCUGGCGCCCGCCGGUCGCGGGCGUCGAGCACACGGAGUCGUGGGGCUGCGCGCCGCCGGGAGCUCGUCGUCCUCUCCUCCACCCCGAGCGACGGCGAUGGCUGGACGCGGCGGCGACGGAGGCUUGCCGGAUGGCCGGACGCGGCUGUACCCGGCAGAGCGGCGGCUGUACACGGCGGUGACGGAGGCUCGCUGGACAGCCAGAUGCGACGGCGCAACGGCUGGAUACGGCGGGUGCGGAUGCUCGCCGGAUGGUGGAUGGCCGGACGGCCGGCGUGCCUAGGAGGCGCGAGUCAGGCGGCAGCGGGUUCAGAUCAGAACCAUUAACGAGACAUCCAGGGAAGGCAGAGAAACGAUUCUUUCAUUGUGCUUUUGUUGGCCGUUUGUUCUGGCCUCGGCGGCAGCAGGACAAGGUCCCCCAACACAUUACUGGGAGCUAAUGUUGCUCUUCCUGAUUAAAUUUGAAGACUUGGUUCUCCUUCAUCUCCUCCCCGAAGAUGUCAACAAGAUGUCUGGCCGACUCCCCUGGUAGUGCGGUGUCCUCGGCCGGAGUAGGGCGACCUUGCCAACAACCUUCAGCUCCCUCCCUUCCCUUCUUUGAUUUUCCUAUGGAAUUCAUAAUUUAUGCUCAGUUGGUGCCGUCUUCUUAUUGUUAUCUGUUUUGUUUCGUUGUCGACACAGAUGCAAAAGGAGAGGUACAAUUUGGACUCAAUGAUGCAUUGUUUACUAAAAGGAAAUCUCUAAAUUAUUAUUAGUGGUUAUUUUUGAUGAUAAGUCAUUUUCUGUGUGAAAAAACUUUGUUCAUACGUCGCCUUGUUUCACAGCUUUUCUAAAUUUGUUAGCAUAAAUAGUUUCAGGUAUCAUGGCUCCUAGAGGAAAAAUUAUUAAUAGUAUACACGCAUUUUUUUCUCUUUCGGUAAUCAUUUGUUGUUUUAUAAGUGUGACAUAAUGCUUAUUUCUACCUCUAGCAGGAUCAUGUAAUUACUGUCAGGAAUGCUACCAAUUCGCUGAUUGCAAAAGGUACAAAUGAAAGGCCCUUUUGUUUUAAUGCUAUUGAUGCAUCACAAGUUGGUGAAACUGAUUUGUCUAGGUGGAUGCAUAAUUAGUUUUGUGCUCAUCUGUGCACAAGCGGCCAAGCGCAGCUAUAACAUGGUGAAUGAACACUACUGGUAGAGAAGAUAGGAACGAAGAAAUGAUGGAGACAGCACAUUUAUUUUGGAUAAUAUUGGAAUGGAGAUCAUCAAGUGACUUGGAAGUACUCAGGCUGAAAAUAUGACAGGUAACACUUCUAUAUUCCAGAUUUCUCCAUAAGAAUCUGUUCGUUGUGGGGAAUUGCAGC
Lolium perenne is the source of this 1589-nucleotide long non-coding RNA. RefSeq lists it as uncharacterized. NCBI's taxonomy places the organism in Eukaryota, Viridiplantae, Streptophyta, Magnoliopsida, Poales, Poaceae. The record is from RefSeq and is a predicted model, not a curated record.